CAACCUUCAAGCACUGCUUGGUAUUGGAUGUCACCACUUGUGGUGUAUCUCAAAAGUAUUGGUAGUAGCAUUCAGCUUCUAGCAGAGUAAAUUUCUUGCUUUGGAGCUAAAUGUUUAAUUGCUAGAACCCCUAAUUUAUUAAA
This 143-nucleotide unclassified non-coding RNA is filed under the name uncultured Helotiales. RNAcentral's name for it is "sequence contains ITS2". Lineage: Eukaryota; Fungi; Ascomycota; Leotiomycetes; Helotiales. The record is from RNAcentral.